UGGGAACUAGGUGUUGGCGACAUUCCACGUCGUCGGUGCCGCAGCUAACGCAUUAAGUUCCCCGCCUGGGGAGUACGCGCGGCCUAUCAGCUUGUUGGUGAGGUAAUGGCUCACCAAGGCGACGACGGGUAGCCGGCCUGAGAGGGCGACCGGCCACACUGGGACUGAGACACGGCCCAGACUCCUACGGGAGGCAGCAGUGGGGAAUAUUGCACAAUGGGCGAAAGCCUGAUGCAGCGACGCCGCGUGAGGGAUGACGGCCUUCGGGUUGUAAACCUCUUUCAGCAGGGAAGAAGCGAAAGUGACGGUACCUGCAGAAGAAGCGCCGGCUAACUACGUGCUAGCAGCCGCGGUAAUACGUAGGGCGCAAGCGUUGUCCGGAAUUAUUGGGCGUAAAGAGCUCGUAGGCGGCUUGUCACGUCGGGUGUGAAAGCCCGGGGCUUAACCCCGGGUCUGCAUUCGAUACGGGCUAGCUAGAGUGUGGUAGGGGAGAUCGGAAUUCCUGGUGUAGCGGUGAAAUGCGCAGAUAUCAGGAGGAACACCGGUGGCGAAGGCGGAUCUCUGGGCCAUUACUGACGCUGAGGAGCGAAAGCGUGGGGAGCGAACAGGAUUAGAUACCCUGGUAGUCCACGCCGUAAACGGUGGGAACUAGGUGUUGGCGACAUUCCACGUCGUCGGUGCCGCAGCUAACGCAUUAAGUUCCCCGCCUGG
Molecule: ribosomal RNA, 711 nt
Filed under: uncultured bacterium
Lineage: Bacteria
Description: bacterial SSU rRNA
Rfam family: Bacterial small subunit ribosomal RNA
Source: RNAcentral